GAUGAACGCCGGCGGCGCGCCUAUUUCAUGCAAGUCGAGCGAACGGACGAGAAGCUUGAUUUUCUGAUGUUAGCGGCGGAAGGGUGAGUAAUACGUGAAUAACCUACCUAUAAGAAUGGGAUACAUUCGGGAAACCGGAGCUAAUAACGGAUGAUAUUUUGAACCGUAUGGUUCAUAAGUGAAAGACGGUCUUGGUGUCACUUAUAGAUGGAUCCGCUCUGCAUUAGCUAGUUGGGAAGGUAAUGGCUUAUCAAGGAAACGAUGCAUAGCCGACCUGAGAGGGUGAUCGGCCACACUGGAACUGAGACACGGUCCAGACUCCUACGUGAGGCACCAAUAGGGAAUCUUCCGCAAUGGGCGAAAUCCUGACGGAGCAACGCCGCGUGAGUGAUGAAGGUCUUCGUAUCGUAAAACUCUGUUAUUAGUGAAGAACAUAUGUGUAAGUAACUGUGCACAUCUUGACGGUACCUAAUCAGAAAGCCACGGCUAACUACGUG
Molecule: ribosomal RNA, 497 nt
Filed under: uncultured bacterium
Lineage: Bacteria
Description: partial 16S ribosomal RNA
Rfam family: Bacterial small subunit ribosomal RNA
Source: RNAcentral